RNAcentral lists this ribosomal RNA (274 nucleotides) under uncultured bacterium. RNAcentral describes it as "partial 16S ribosomal RNA". It matches the Rfam family "Bacterial small subunit ribosomal RNA", at positions 523 to 796 of the family's 1533-position model. The record is from RNAcentral.
CUACGGAGGGUGCAAGCGUUAAUCGGAAUUACUGGGCGUAAAGAGUACGUAGGUGGUUUAUUAAGUCAGAUGUGAAAGCCCCGGGCUCAACCUGGGAACUGCAUUUGAAACUGGCAAACUAGAGUAUGGUAGAGGGGGGUAGAAUUUCUAGUGUAGCGGUGAAAUGCGUAGAUAUUAGAAGGAAUACCAGUGGCGAAGGCGGCCCCCUGGACCAAUACUGACACUGAGGUACGAAAGCGUGGGUAGCGAACAGGAUUAGAUACCCUAGUAGUCC